RNAcentral lists this ribosomal RNA (396 nucleotides) under uncultured bacterium. RNAcentral's name for it is "bacterial SSU rRNA". It matches the Rfam family "Bacterial small subunit ribosomal RNA", at positions 114 to 507 of the family's 1533-position model. The record is from RNAcentral.
UAUAUCGGAACGUGCCGGUCGUGGGGGAUAACGUAGCGAAAGCUACGCUAAUACCGCAUACGAUCUACGGAUGAAANCGGGGGAUCGCAAGACCUCGCGCGAUUGGAGCGGCUGAUAUCAGAUUAGGUAGUUGGUGAGGUAAAGGCUCACCAAGCCGACGAUCUGUAGCUGGUCUGAGAGGACGACCAGCCACACUGGGACCUGAGACACGGCCCAGACUCCUACGGGAGGCAGCAGUGGGAAUUUUGGACAAUGGGCGCAAGCCUGAUCCAGCAAUGCCGCGUGCAGGAUGAAGGCCUUCGGGUUGUAAACUGCUUUUGUACGGAACGAAACGGUGAGCUCUAAUACAGUUUGCUAAUGACGGUACCGUAAGAAUAAGCACCGGCUAACUACGUG